Molecule: long non-coding RNA, 828 nt
Organism: Grammomys surdaster
Lineage: Eukaryota; Metazoa; Chordata; Mammalia; Rodentia; Muridae
Exons: 3
Source: RefSeq, a predicted model, not a curated record
GAGAGCACCCAGAGGGAGGGAAGAAACAAGAUCAAAGGAACCUGCUGACCAAGUGACCACAGAUGUACUCUUUCCCCUGCAGCCAUUUUUCAUGAUUUACCAGAAGAGCCAGUACAGGUUGCAUCCCAGUGCGGGGUCAGGACUGCAUACCAAGGUGACUGAAGAACUUGGCAACUAUUGUGUGAGAGUCUUCCACAUGAAGGGGUCAUGGAGAGCAACUAAGCUGUAGCACUGCUUGGCAGAAUUGAAGCUUGCAUGCAGAAAGGCUAUUGGUGAAGGUGCAACAUCAGUUGCAGUGGAGACUCCAGAAUAUUUGAGAUUCCAGGCCUGUUGGAUGGCUGCCAAGGACAGCAGGAGCUGUGAAGGGGAGCUGUCCUGAACAUAUGAGGCAGAUUGCGUGUGUUGUGGAUGGCAGAGCCAGCAAAACAACCCAACAAAAUGACAAAAAAUGACAAGAAACACCAAACCAUAAGAAAACAGCAGCAACACACUGGAGCCUACUCUGGAAUUUGAUUGAUAUCUACUUAAAUGUGGCCAUUUCACUGAAGAAAAGAAAUUUAACCUCUCCAAGCAAGAAUCCAUUUCAAUUAGCUUGUUGGCUAGUGGUAGAACUUUAUGACCACUUUCCCUUCUCUGUGCUGGGAUUUUUGUCUGGCCUGAGCCUGUACAGGUCUUGUGUAAGCUGUCACAGUCUAUGUGAGUUCAUAUGUGCAUCAUCCCCACUGUGUCUGGAAAAUACUGUCUCCCUGGAGUCUUCCACCACCUCUGACUCUUACGAUCUUUCUGCCUCCCCUUUUGCACUGAUCACUGAUAUAGAAAUAUGUCAUU